Molecule: ribosomal RNA, 691 nt
Filed under: uncultured bacterium
Lineage: Bacteria
Description: bacterial SSU rRNA
Rfam family: Bacterial small subunit ribosomal RNA
Source: RNAcentral
UGCAGUCGAGCGGACUAUAGGGGCUUGCUCCUAUAGUUAGCGGCGGACGGGUGAGUAACGCGUGAGCAACCUGCCCACAUCUGGGGAAUAACACAUAGAAAUGUGUGCUAAUACCGCAUAAGACCACAGAGAGGCAUCUCUCAGGGGUAAAAGAUUUAUCGGAUGUGGAUGGGCUCGCGUACCAUUAGAUAGUUGGUAGUGUAACGGACUACCAAGUCGACGAUGGUUAGCCGACCUGAGAGGGUGAUCGGCCACAUUGGAACUGAGAUACGGUCCAGACUCCUACGGGAGGCAGCAGUAGGGAAUAUUGGGCAAUGGAGGCAACUCUGACCCAGCAACACCGCGUGAAUGAUGAAGGUCUUCGGAUUGUAAAGUUCUGUGAUGGGGGACGAAAACAAUGACGGUACCCCAAGAGCAAGCCACGGCUAACUACGUGCCAGCAGCCGCGGUAAUACGUAGGUGGCAAGCGUUGUCCGGAAUGACUGGGCGUAAAGGGUGCGUAGGUGGCUAUUCAAGUUAGUAGUGAAAUCCCGGGGCUCAACUCCGGUGCUACUACUAAGACUGUUUAGCUUGAGUGCAGGAGGGGCAAGUGGAAUUCCUAGUGUAGCGGUGGAAUGCGUAGAUAUUAGGAGGAACACCAGUGGCGAAAGCGACUUGCUGGACUGUAACUGACACUGAGGUACGAAAGCGU